Molecule: ribosomal RNA, 1308 nt
Filed under: unidentified
Description: bacterial SSU rRNA
Rfam family: Bacterial small subunit ribosomal RNA
Source: RNAcentral
ACCGGCGCACGGGUGAGUAACACGUAUGCAACCUGCCCUCUUCAGGGGGACAACCUUCCGAAAGGGAGGCUAAUCCCGCGUAUAUCGGUUUCGGGCAUCCGUUAUCGAGGAAAGAUUCAUCGGAAGAGGAUGGGCAUGCGGCGCAUUAGCUUGACGGCGGGGUAACGGCCCACCGUGGCGACGAUGCGUAGGGGUUCUGAGAGGAAGGUCCCCCACACUGGUACUGAGACACGGACCAGACUCCUACGGGAGGCAGCAGUGAGGAAUAUUGGUCAAUGGGAGAGAUCCUGAACCAGCCAAGCCGCGUGAGGGAAGACGGCCCUAUGGGUUGUAAACCUCUUUUGUCGGAGAACAAAACCCGGGACGAGUCCCGGACUGCGUGUAUCCGAAGAAAAAGCAUCGGCUAACUCCGUGCCAGCAGCCGCGGUAAUACGGAGGAUGCGAGCGUUAUCCGGAUUUAUUGGGUUUAAAGGGUGCGUAGGCGGUCCGUUAAGUCAGCGGUAAAAUUGCGGGGCUCAACCCCGUCGAGCCGUUGAAACUGGCAGACUUGAGUUGGCGAGAAGUACGCGGAAUGCGCGGUGUAGCGGUGAAAUGCAUAGAUAUCGCGCAGAACUCCGAUUGCGAAGGCAGCGUACCGGCGCCAGACUGACGCUGAGGCACGAAAGCGUGGGGAUCGAACAGGAUUAGAUACCCUGGUAGUCCACGCAGUAAACGAUGAAUGCUAGGUGUCCGGGUCGAAUGAGACCUGGGCGGCGAAGCGAAAGCGAUAAGCAUUCCACCUGGGGAGUACGCCGGCAACGGUGAAACUCAAAGGAAUUGACGGGGGCCCGCACAAGCGGAGGAACAUGUGGUUUAAUUCGAUGAUACGCGAGGAACCUUACCCGGGCUCAAACGGGAGUGGAAUGGACCAGAGACGGUUCAGCCUACGGGCCGCUUCCGAGGUGCUGCAUGGUUGUCGUCAGCUCGUGCCGUGAGGUGUCGGCUUAAGUGCCAUAACGAGCGCAACCCCCGCCGGCAGUUGCUAACGGGCAAUGCCGAGGACUCUGCCGGGACUGCCGCCGCAAGGCGUGAGGAAGGCGGGGAUGACGUCAAAUCAGCACGGCCCUUACGUCCGGGGCGACACACGUGUUACAAUGGGCGGUACAGCGGGAAGCCAGGCGGCGACGCCGAGCGGAACCCGAAAGCCGUUCUCAGUUCGGAUCGGAGUCUGCAACCCGACUCCGUGAAGCUGGAUUCGCUAGUAAUCGCGCAUCAGCCAUGGCGCGGUGAAUACGUUCCCGGGCCUUGUACACACCGCCCGUCAAGCCA